This 673-nucleotide long non-coding RNA is filed under the name Coffea arabica (coffee). Its description in RNAcentral is "long non-coding RNA (CARA_LNC000312)". Lineage: Eukaryota; Viridiplantae; Streptophyta; Magnoliopsida; Gentianales; Rubiaceae. The record is from RNAcentral.
GCUUAUCAGUAGUUGUCCGGAGAAACUCGAUGUCAAUCUCAUCAUGGUACCCGGGGUAGUCCUCAUUGUUUGAAAGCUGUCAGUAUGCAAAAUCACCAUAAAUUUUUACUUAAUAUACUAAGGUUAGUUUAGGAGUAAUAAAUUUCGUUAAAUUCUCACGUAGAAAGAUGUAAUGACUCCAGCUGUAUAACCAGGUUGGAGCUUGACGGCAGCACCAAAAUAACCAGAUCGAUAUCGGUUGAGGGAUUUGAAUCGCUGCCUGCAUGCAAUUUGUGAAAAAGAAAAUGCAAUGAUAUUACCGAUUGUGAGAGAGGCCAAAAAAGGUGGCAGCCAGAUUGUAGGUAGGACCUAAUCAUACCUGAGCUUCUAUCAAGCCAGAUUGUUAAAGAGCCUUGGUCGACCCUUUGAUUCUGAGGACCCCAAAGGGUCCUAAAGCCCUGGUUAAACCCUAGUGAAGCAACUCUUGAACUAGGGUAGUAGCCCGGGGAAGGUGGAUCGCCGCUGAGCGUUGCUUGGAGGGAGCAGGAAAACUAUGAAAAACGAGAGAAGAUCAGGGCCAUAACUCUUGAAAGAGCGCACAAAAUGCGUACGAAAAAUUGGAGCUAAUGUGCCCUGCUCAUAAUGCACGCAGAUGUAUGAAUAAAGUGUAGUGGAGAACUUAUGUGUCUGUCCU